RNAcentral lists this ribosomal RNA (466 nucleotides) under uncultured bacterium. Its description in RNAcentral is "partial 16S ribosomal RNA". It matches the Rfam family "Bacterial small subunit ribosomal RNA", at positions 30 to 507 of the family's 1533-position model. The record is from RNAcentral.
CGACCGCUGGCGGCGUGCUUAACACAUGCCAGUCGCACGGAAAGGCCCUGCUUUUGUGGGGUGCUCGAGUGGCGAACGGGUGAGUAACACGUGAGUAACCUGCCCUUGACUUUGGGAUAACUUCAGGAAACUGGGGCUAAUACCGGAUAGGAGCUCCUGCUGCAUGGUGGGGGUUGGAAAGUUUCGGCGGUUGGGGAUGGACUCGCGGCUUAUCAGCUUGUUGGUGGGGUAGUGGCUUACCAAGGCUUUGACGGGUAGCCGGCCUGAGAGGGUGACCGGCCACAUUGGGACUGAGAUACGGCCCAGACUCCUACGGGAGGCAGCAGUGGGGAAUAUUGCACAAUGGGCGGAAGCCUGAUGCAGCAACGCCGCGUGCGGGAUGACGGCCUUCGGGUUGUAAACCGCUUUCGCCUGUGACGAAGCGUGAGUGACGGUAAUGGGUAAAGAAGCACCGGCUAACUACGUG